RNAcentral lists this ribosomal RNA (703 nucleotides) under uncultured bacterium. Its description in RNAcentral is "bacterial SSU rRNA". It matches the Rfam family "Bacterial small subunit ribosomal RNA", at positions 33 to 754 of the family's 1533-position model. The record is from RNAcentral.
ACGGCCGGCGGCGUGCCUAUACAUGCAGUCGAACGGAUUAUGUGAUUUAUCAUAUAGUUAGUGGCGAACGGGUGAGUAACGCGUUGGUGACCUGCCCCGAAGCGGGGGAUAACAGCCCGAAAGGGUUGCUAAUACCCCAUAUGGUUAUUGCGAUUUGAAAACAAUAACUAAAGGAGAAAUCCACUUUGGGAGGGGCCUGCGUCCCAUCAGCUAGUUGGUAAGGUAACGGCUUACCAAGGCGAAGACGGGUAGGGGACCUGAGAGGGUGGCCCCCCACAAUGGAACUGAAACACGGUCCAUACACCUACGGGUGGCAGCAGUAGGGAAUAUUGCACCAUGGGCGAAAGCCUGAUGCAGCAACGCCGCGUGAGUGAUGAAGGCCUUCGGGUUGUAAAACUCUUUUCAAGGGGAAGAGGAAGGACGGUACCCUUGGAAUAAGCAUCGGCUAACUACGUGCCAGCAGCCGCGGUAACACGUAGGAUGCGAGCGUUAUCCGGAUUUACUGGGCGUAAAGCGCGUGUAGGCGGUUGAGAAAGUUGGAUGUGAAAGCUCCCGGCUUAACUGGGAGAGGUCGUUCAAAACUUCUUGACUUGAGUAUGGUAGAGGAAAAUGGAAUUCCGGGUGUAGUGGUGAAAUGCGUAGAUAUCCGGAGGAACACCAGUGGCGAAAGCGGUUUUCUGGACCAAAACUGACGCUCAGACGC